AUAUACUAAAGGUGGGUUACUGUUCCUAAGCAGCUCCUUAUGAACAAUGUACUUUCGCUUUUGCCCCCGCUGGCUGACCCGGAUUUUACUAUAUUCCCCUGCCACCUGUUGAUAUGCUGAGCUGACAAAUAGUAGAGUUGUUGCAUGCCCUUCUUUCUCUACGCAAAAGAGAGAGCUUAUUUGCCUCACAAAAAGAGGGGGAGAGAAUUGGGUCAUGUUCGUCGAGGAGAGACACAGUACAACUCACUUCGAUUUAAGAGGUAUUUUGAUUGAUUUCUCAGGUUUGAGCCUUCAUGCAGCUGUAAUUUUUUGUGUUAGUUUUUUUUUUCUUCAUUCUCAGUUGAAUCAGACUUCAAACUUAGUCGGAUGAGUUAUUGAUAGGUUGAAUUGGGUUUUUUUUGUGCCGUUGAUGUUUUAAGAUUUGGGCUUCUGGAGGAUACACCAUCAAACAGAUGGUGCUGGGAUUCGGAACGAAAGUGAUCGGAAAAGGCUAGGUUCUCCAGUGAGGAGCCACUACCAAUCUACUCCAGAAGCAAGGUAAUUCUCUUUGAUACCUGCUCUUCUGCGAGAGACAUGCACAGAAAGAAAGAAGAAGAGGGAAAUUCACAUCACGAGACUGAUCGGAGAGAGAAGGAGAAGCAUCUUUUUGAUAGUACAAAUAUAAGAGAAGAAGAAGAAGAAGAAGAGGGAGACGGGAAGGAAAGCAGAGGCAGAGUAGAGAAAGGAAAAGAUGAAUGAAAAUUAAUGAAGAGGAAGUGCCUUUGGGAUUUCGAUCCACUCUGAUCAAAAUUCCAAGUUGUGCGACAAAGGUCAGCUCCGGAGUUUCCAAGAGAAAGUUUGGAGUCAAAAUUCGUCUAAUCACCUCUUUUCGGGAUACUUGCUACAUUGAGAUUCUUCCUAAAUACAGGAAUGCUACAUGAGAGCCCUCUACUCUAAUCCUUCACACCCGGGUCAAAAUCCACCUCAAAACCCAAAAAUCACUACAAAAAAGAGCAACAGAGAAAGAGAGUUGUGAGCAGCAAGAACAGUUUUGACGACCAUAGCUUCCAAAAUAGAGCCGACCCAGAAGCUGGUUUUCUCAGAUGAGCACAAAGCCACCAUCUUUGCUGCAGAACCAAGACUGAUCUGAUGAAUCUCGGUGAUUGGAUUUUGAUUUGAGGAAGCUGAAAACGUAUCUGGGUUGAAACUCAAUUUGAACAACAAUGGGCGGAUGGUAAGGUGGAAGAAUGGAAAAAUGCAAUUCACGAUGGUGAACAUGUUUAGGAUUAGCAGACUGUUAUUCACCUUAACUAUUUUAGCACAAUAGAAGAUAAAAAGC
Rosa chinensis is the source of this 1318-nucleotide long non-coding RNA. RefSeq lists it as uncharacterized. The transcript has 8 exons. NCBI's taxonomy places the organism in Eukaryota, Viridiplantae, Streptophyta, Magnoliopsida, Rosales, Rosaceae. The record is from RefSeq and is a predicted model, not a curated record.